UUGUAUAAUAAAAAUAUUAAAAUUUCAUGAAACUAUACUACUAAAUACUUCUAGAUCUAAAUACUAAACUAUGAACUAAAAACCGAAUCUACUAUACUAACUAAGCUACAUUUUUAACAUCUAAAAGCACACAACAUAUCUGUAGAUCUAAAUAUUAAACUAUGAACUAAAUACCGAAUCUACUGUACAAACUAAAAGCAUAAGAUAUUUUUAGAUCUACUAUACUACGAUAUUGAAAAACUUACCUGAUGCCUAGGAGGCUUCUUCCCCUUCUUUCCUCUCUUUCUUUCUUCCUACCCUUCCUUCUCUCCCUCUCUGGUUCUCCUCUCAAAAACAAUAGGUCUGGCUCAAGAGUUGGGAGGCUUGAGGUCUGGCGGGGGGUUUUAUAGGGGAACCGCCGCCGGCCCAGGCGGCGGUAAGGGGCCUUAUCGCCGGCCUAGGCGGCGGAUCCUUACCGCCCGCGCGCUGGUCGUACCACAGCGGUGCAGGAGGCCAAGUCCUUACGGUCGGCCCAAAGGUCCUUAUUGCUGGUCCAGGAGGUGGUAGGGCCUUAUCGCCGGCCCAGGCGGUGGUAAGGACACACGCCCGCAGUGUCGGCACCUUACCGCCGGCUGAGGCGGCUGUAAGGCCUUAUCGUCGGCCCAGCCGGCGGCAAUAGCCUAGAUUUGCAAUUUUUCAUCUGACUAUAUAUUUCUGCAAAAUCAAAAAAAAUAUAUAAAAAUAAAAAACCAC
This 732-nucleotide long non-coding RNA is filed under the name Setaria viridis. Its description in RNAcentral is "long non-coding RNA (SVIR_LNC002664)". The record is from RNAcentral. Lineage: Eukaryota; Viridiplantae; Streptophyta; Magnoliopsida; Poales; Poaceae.